GAUGAACGCUGGCGGCGUGCCUAAUACAUGCAAGUCGAGCGAACAGACGAGGAGCUUGCUCCUCUGACGUUAGCGGCGGACGGGUGAGUAACACGUGGAUAACCUACCUAUAAGACUGGGAUAACUUCGGGAAACCGGAGCUAAUACCGGAUAAUAUAUUGAACCGCAUGGUUCAAUAGUGAAAGACGGUUUUGCUGUCACUUAUAGACGGAUCCGGGCCGCAUUCGCUAGUUGGUAAGGUAACGGCUUACCAAGGCAACGAUGCGUAGACGCCCCGAGAGGGACGUCGGCCACCCGGGCUCUGAGACACGGCCCCGACUCCUACGGGGAGCCACAGUCGGGACUCCUACGCGAGGGGGCAGUGCCUGAUGGAGCACCGCCGGCUGAGUCAUGAACGUCUUCGGCCGGUAGAGCGAUGUUAUUAGGGGAGAAGUAAUGUGCAAGUACCUAUGCACGUCAUGACGGUACCUGGUCAAAAAGCCCCGGCUAACUACGUG
Molecule: ribosomal RNA, 497 nt
Filed under: uncultured bacterium
Lineage: Bacteria
Description: partial 16S ribosomal RNA
Rfam family: Bacterial small subunit ribosomal RNA
Source: RNAcentral